CAAACUUGUGAAACUGUCUUUAGCACCUUUGCUGUUUGAGGCAUAAACAAAUCAUUCUUCUCCUAUACCAACUUGCCAUUUUCUGGCAACCCUAUUUUAUCUAUGCAGGGACUUUUCUGGGAGAUGUUUCACUGUUUGCCCAUUUAAUCUUUAGGUAACCUUGGGAGACUGAUGAGAAAUGGCAUAGUUACAAGACUAUUACAGACUUGAGAUUGCUAGCAUUUUUCUGCAUACGGCACUGAACAGCUAUCAGGGGCAAAACAGUUUUCAGUUGUUUCAAGUCAAUGUUGGGUUUGAAACAAGAAGCCGGGAAGCGGAAGUGCCUGCUUAUGUACAUGUUCAGGCUGGUUCCUUACCCGUGUGCUCUUGCAUAUCCCUAGUAUUUGCACUCUCACUAACUGGUUCAUCAGGAAGUUUUAGCCAGAUCCAGGUAAGAGCAACAUUUGCAGUGAUUUUUGUUUUUGAAGAAUUUCUCCUUUGGUAAAGUAUUAAGCCCUUUUUCUCUCUUCCUUUAAUAAUGGUAUAGAGUUUCUCUAU
This 537-nucleotide long non-coding RNA is filed under the name Apteryx rowi (Okarito brown kiwi). RNAcentral's name for it is "lncRNA (ENSARWG00000014177.1)". The record is from RNAcentral. Lineage: Eukaryota; Metazoa; Chordata; Aves; Apterygiformes; Apterygidae.